This 354-nucleotide ribosomal RNA is filed under the name uncultured bacterium. Its description in RNAcentral is "bacterial SSU rRNA". It matches the Rfam family "Bacterial small subunit ribosomal RNA", at positions 527 to 879 of the family's 1533-position model. The record is from RNAcentral.
GGAGGGUGCGAGCGUUGUUCGGAUUUACUGGGCGUAAAGGGCGCGUAGGCGGCCUGUUAAGUCAGACGUGAAAGCCCAAGGCUCAACCUUGGAAUGCGAUCUGAAACUGGCAGGCUUGAGUACUGGAGGGGAAAGUGGAAUUCCCGGUGUAGAGGUGAAAUUCGUAGAUAUCGGAGGAAUACCGGUGGCGAAGGCGACUUUCUGGACAGAUACUGAGCCUGAGGCGCGAAAGCGUGGGGAGCAAACAGGAUUAGAUACCCUGGUAGUCCACAGCUGUAAACGAUGUGCACUAGGUAUGGGGGGGUGUUGACCCUCUCUGUGCCGCASUAACGCAAUAAGUGCACCGCCUGGGGA